This 29-nucleotide small RNA is filed under the name Bombyx mori (domestic silkworm). RNAcentral's name for it is "ovarian small RNA-18751". The record is from RNAcentral. Lineage: Eukaryota; Metazoa; Arthropoda; Insecta; Lepidoptera; Bombycidae.
UAACCGUGCUUCCAUAACACACAUCGGGC